CAAAGAGUAGUUUUAAAAAGAAUUUUAGCUUUGGGAGUUAAAGGUGAGAGUUAGAAUCCCUUCUCUUUGA
Molecule: transfer RNA, 70 nt
Filed under: Erpetoichthys calabaricus (reedfish)
Lineage: Eukaryota; Metazoa; Chordata; Cladistia; Polypteriformes; Polypteridae
Rfam family: tRNA
About the family: Transfer RNA (tRNA) molecules are approximately 80 nucleotides in length. Their secondary structure includes four short double-helical elements and three loops (D, anti-codon, and T loops).
Source: Rfam by way of RNAcentral